CACCGCGGUUAUACGAGAGGCCCAAGUUGAUAGACGUCGGCGUAAAGAGUGGUUAAUAGAAUUAAUACUAAGGCUAAACAUCUUCAAGACUGUUAUACGUACCCGAAGACAGGAGAAUCUACCACGAAAGUGGCCUUAACCUAUUUGAACCCACUAAAGCUAGGGAA
RNAcentral lists this ribosomal RNA (167 nucleotides) under Valenciennea sexguttata (sixspot goby). RNAcentral's name for it is "partial 12S rRNA". Lineage: Eukaryota; Metazoa; Chordata; Actinopteri; Gobiiformes; Gobiidae. The record is from RNAcentral.